AUGGAUCCCUAUGUAAUUAGCCUAGUUCUUUUAUGUAUCAUUCAUUUCCUUGGUGGGAUGCCUUGGGUAACUUCUCACAGUGGAAAUAGGUUUCUGCUCACUUGUUCACAUUGUUUAACUCUUUAUUGUUUUUUGGAUGACCUGCAACUUUUAUUCCUCAGAGACUGUGAUGUUCCAUGCUUUGCACCUACAGAGCAUCACUGGGAGGACAGGCAUUUAAAAGCACACCUUUGCUGGAAGAAGUCCAGUGUGGGAGCCUCCUCACAGCCUGGAACUCCUGAGACAACUCACUCCAUUCUAAAGAAGACACCUCUCACUGUUGGAACAUUUUCUCUUUAUAGCAAGCCUAAUAUUAUUCCUGUGUGAUCAUAACUAAAAAGUUAAUACUUCACCCAAGAUUUUCCCAAUCUUAGAGCCCAAGUGAUCACCGGAGCCAUUCCAAUACCUCAGGCAAGGUUUGUUCACCAACCCUCCAGGAAAAUGACAACUUGGGCUUCCAUGGAUGGAAAAUAGCUAUUCUUUCUCUUCUUUCUGGUUGAAGAGCUUCUCUGUAGUUCAUAGCCUAAUUGGGUUGUAUUUUAUGUUCAAUUUCAUGCAAUUUUAAGAUCCAGGAUUUAGAGAUAAUCUGUUUCAAUUGAAGCUAAUAAAAGUAAAGUAAUGAUUAGGGUCA
RNAcentral lists this long non-coding RNA (670 nucleotides) under Monodelphis domestica (gray short-tailed opossum). RNAcentral describes it as "lncRNA (ENSMODG00000047789.1)". The record is from RNAcentral. Lineage: Eukaryota; Metazoa; Chordata; Mammalia; Didelphimorphia; Didelphidae.